This 921-nucleotide ribosomal RNA is filed under the name Ovozomus lunatus. RNAcentral's name for it is "SSU rRNA". It matches the Rfam family "Eukaryotic small subunit ribosomal RNA", at positions 24 to 944 of the family's 1831-position model. Lineage: Eukaryota; Metazoa; Arthropoda; Arachnida; Schizomida; Hubbardiidae. The record is from RNAcentral.
UCAUAUGCUNGUCUCAAAGANUAAGCCAUGCAUGUCUAAGUACGUGCCUAAGAAAGGUGAAACCGCGAAUGGCUCAUUAAAUCAGUUAUGGUUCCUUAGAUCGUACCUUACUACUUGGAUAACUGUGGUAAUUCUAGAGCUAAUACAUGCAGCAGAGCUCCGACCUUCGGGGACGAGCGCUUUUAUUAGACCAAGACCAAUCGGACUUCGGUCCGAAGCUCAUGGUGACUCUGGAUAACUUUGGGCUGAUCGCACGGUCUCGUACCGGCGACGCAUCUUUCAAGUGUCUGCCUUAUCAACUUUCGAUGGUAGGUUAUGCGCCUACCAUGGUCGUAACGGGUAACGGGGAAUCAGGGUUCGAUUCCGGAGAGGGAGCCUGAGAAACGGCUACCACAUCCAAGGAAGGCAGCAGGCGCGCAAAUUACCCACUCCCGGCACGGGGAGGUAGUGACGAAAAAUAACAAUACGGGACUCUAUUGAGGCCCCGUAAUUGGAAUGAGUACACUCUAAAUCCUUUAACGAGGAUCUAUUGGAGGGCAAGUCUGGUGCCAGCAGCCGCGGUAAUUCCAGCUCCAAUAGCGUAUAUUAAAGUUGUUGCGGUUAAAAAGCUCGUAGUUGGAUCUCAGUUCCAGACGGGUGGUCCACCCCUGGUGGUUACUGCCUGGCCUGAACAAAUCCAGCCGGUUUUCCUUGAUGCUCUUCACCGAGUGUCUUGGGUGACCGGCACGUUUACUUUGAAAAAAUUAGAGUGCUCAAAGCAGGCGUGACGCCUGAAUAAUGGUGCAUGGAAUAAUGGAAUAGGACCUCGGUUCUAUUUUGUUGGUUUUCGGAACACGAGGUAAUGAUUAAGAGGGACAGACGGGGGCAUUCGUAUUGCGACGCUAGAGGUGAAAUUCUUGGACCGUCNCNAGACGAACUACU